Molecule: long non-coding RNA, 913 nt
Filed under: Helianthus annuus (common sunflower)
Lineage: Eukaryota; Viridiplantae; Streptophyta; Magnoliopsida; Asterales; Asteraceae
Description: hypothetical non coding rna
Source: RNAcentral
AAUUGUACAUCAGUGGCACUUCGGAGCAGUGGGUUUUCCCAUUGCUAUGGCCAUCAACCACGGACGGUUCUAAACACCAAACAGUUAUACUCUUUCAUAAGAAGUUGCAACGUUUCAUUGUGUUUGUUACCCACAUAUAUUAAUAUGAUCUUUGAUCUCAUUUCUGGUAACAAAAUGUGAAAGCCAAAUAGAAGCCAGCUGGACAGCACUGAAGGCUUGGAAAAGUGGCAAUAAAGUUACCUAAAAAGAAAUAGAUGUUUUUCUUAAAUAAAAUAGGGUGUAUCCCUAUGAAAUUAUGUGUACUGAAAACUUGGCUUUACCCAUGUGUUUAAUAUUAUAAAAUGCGGUGGUUUACUCUGAUAAAAUAUUUCCUAACUACGGUCCUGAUGAAAAUUUCCACUGCCAAAUUAGACAAUAACGUGAUACCACCGAAAUUGGCUCGCGGCCGCCCGUUCUCGGGGAAUUGGGAUCAGGGGUUGUGACACUUCUCUAUUUUCAAAAUGCUACAACGAAAACUUCAAAAGGCAAACCAUCAUACACAAACACAUCCUUACCAAACGAGGUGACAGUCCAAUCGAAUGGCCAUCCGAUCGGAUGACCAUCCGAACGGAUUGCCACCCGAUCGACUGGCUAUCCGAUCGGAUUACCGUCCGAUCUAUUGAUACUUUCUACCAUUUUACGCGCCGCUUAUCAUUUAUGCUAUCAUUCUGAUCAGGCUAAACUCACGCUAGCGCUCCCUUCAAUCUAUCAUCGCUGUUUUGUCGCAGUCUACAUCAAAUCAAGCUAGGAAGUCUAGAAACACACCUAAAAUCUAGGUUGCCGGAUUUGAAUUGUUUGAGAGAACAUGAAAUUCAUGACAGCUUAUGUGAUUGUAAUUGUUUAUUAGUAUGGGAUAAUGAAUGCAUUAAAUACU